RNAcentral lists this ribosomal RNA (480 nucleotides) under uncultured archaeon. RNAcentral describes it as "bacterial SSU rRNA". It matches the Rfam family "Archaeal small subunit ribosomal RNA", at positions 79 to 559 of the family's 1478-position model. The record is from RNAcentral.
UGGCGAACUGCUCAGUAACACGUGGACAACCUACCCUCAGAUCUGGGAUAAACCUGGGAAACUGGGUAUAAUACCGGAUAAUCCUUGGAUGCUGGAAUGCACCGAGGAUCAAAGUUCCGACGUCUGAGGAUGGGUCUGCGGCCUAUCAGGGUAGUAGUGGGUGUAAAGUACCUACUAGCCUACGACGGGUACGGGUUGUGAGAGCAAGAGCCCGGAGAUGGAUUCUGAGACACGAAUCCAGGCCCUACGGGGUGCAGCAGGCGCGAAAACUUUACAAUGCCGGCAACGGCGAUAAGGGGACCUUGAGUGCCAGGAUACAAUCUUGGCUGUCGUCGUGUCUAAAAAACACGAUAUAGCAAGGGCCGGGCAAGACCGGUGCCAGCCGCCGCGGUAACACCGGCGGCUCGAGUGGUAACCGCUAUUAUUGGGUCUAAAGGGUCUGUAGCCGGCUUGGUAAGUCUCUUGGGAAAUCCGGCAGCU